UGGGAUUACAAGUGUUACUAGAAACUGCU
This 29-nucleotide non-coding RNA is filed under the name Rattus norvegicus (Norway rat). The record is from RNAcentral. Lineage: Eukaryota; Metazoa; Chordata; Mammalia; Rodentia; Muridae.